UACGUAGGGGGCUAGCGUUGUCCGGAAUCAUUGGGCGUAAAGAGCGUGUAGGCGGCCCGGUAAGUCCGCUGUAAAAGUCAAAGGCUCAACCUUUGAAUGUCAGUGGAUACUGCCGGGCUAGAGUCCGGAAGAGGCGAGUGGAACUCCUGGUGUAGCGGUGGAAUGCGCAGAUAUCAGGAAGAACACCAACGGCGAAGGCAGCUCGCUGGGACGGUACUGACGCUGAGACGCUAAAGCGUGGGGAGCGAACAGG
Molecule: ribosomal RNA, 253 nt
Filed under: uncultured bacterium
Lineage: Bacteria
Description: partial 16S ribosomal RNA
Rfam family: Bacterial small subunit ribosomal RNA
Source: RNAcentral